GGGUCGUUAGCUCAGUUGGUAGAGCACUCGGCUUUUAACCGAUAGGCCCUGGGUUCGAGUCCCAGACGACCCA
Molecule: transfer RNA, 73 nt
Filed under: Ignatius tetrasporus
Lineage: Eukaryota; Viridiplantae; Chlorophyta; Ulvophyceae; Ignatiales; Ignatiaceae
Also listed under: 1 other name
Description: tRNA-Lys
Rfam family: tRNA
About the family: Transfer RNA (tRNA) molecules are approximately 80 nucleotides in length. Their secondary structure includes four short double-helical elements and three loops (D, anti-codon, and T loops).
Source: RNAcentral